Molecule: long non-coding RNA, 604 nt
Organism: Octopus sinensis (East Asian common octopus)
Lineage: Eukaryota; Metazoa; Mollusca; Cephalopoda; Octopoda; Octopodidae
Exons: 2
Source: RefSeq, a predicted model, not a curated record
UGGAGCCUGAUGCAGCCACUGGCUUUCCAGACCUCAGUCAAACUGUCCAACCCAUGCCAGCAUGGAAAACGGACGUUAAAUGAUGAUGAUGAUAAUGGUGAUGGUGAUGAUGAUGAUGCACUAAAGUUGCAAAAGCUGAUAAAUUGCAGCAUUCAUUGAGAUGUUACAAAGAAACUCACAUUUUCUGAUAAUGUGAGAGUAAAUAAAACAUAUCGCCAACAAUUCAACUUCUUUUUUCUCGCUCAUGAAUAGAGUUGAGUCAGCUAAUUUCAAGACAUUAUCUGAGAACUUUCAAACAAUUUAUGAAAGCAACUGACAUGGAUGGCAAACCUAUAAUUAGAGACUUCUAGAAGUUCAACACAAUGGAUGCUGCGGACAGCAUAGCUGAGUCAUGGAAUGAAAUGAAACCUUCAUCUUUGAAUUGCCAGAUUGUAUCUGUGCCUUUACAAGUUUUCUACCAGCAGAAAGUCGACAUCAAAUUCAGAAGGAUAAUGUGACACUUGCAAGUGAUAUCGGUCUCAAGAAGUCAUAGAGGACGAUGUGGCUGAGUUGCUGGUGUCUCAUAGAGAAAGUUUAUCGAAUGAACAGCCGAUGCUAUUAGAAC